UCCCCGACGUCCUGCCAUCUCAUCGGACACUGCUGUGUGCUGGAGCUCAUGCCUGCUAAGAUACGUGCGGAUUUCUCUCCCCAGAUCUUCUUGCAGUUGGGUUCCCACCCUGGCCAGGCUGGGGGUCGGGGGGCAGGGAGGCAGCUUCAGGGGCUCAGCCGGGCCCUGCUCUGUGGUCACCGAUCCCAACAGCACAUCCCUCUGAGCCUCGGUGUGUGAAGAACAUGAAGGUGUCCCCGAGAGCCCUGCCAGACGCGUGACUGCGGGGGGACGUCACACCCGCGGCUGGGUGGCUGCGGGGGCGGGGGAGGGUCACACUUCACCUCCUUAGGUUUCCAGCUGGGCCCAAGAACUCAGCACAGGAGCCCUGGGAAGCAAACGGAAAUCCAGACAACAGGCGAACCUGCCUGCUCCUACCCUAGGUAGGAACGGCAGUCAGGCAGAGACACAGAGAUCUUCCAUCCAGGGCUCCCUCCCAGUGGUUGCCACAGCCAGGGCUGAGCCUGACUGAAGAGAAGCUGGGCACGCAACCCCGGUGUCCACAUGAGGGCAGGGACCCACACCGAGCCCUCAGCGUCUGCUGCCCAGGUGCACAGCCCACACCUGAACUCGGGCUCUGGGACGCAGGCUGCGGGCAGCCAGGUAAUGUCUCGUGCUGCACCCAGCGCCCACCCCACGCCCUCUGUUCUCGUGUGGAACCUCUGGGUUUUCUCAGGCCAGCUCCCUGGCUGCUCUUCUCGCUUCGUGAACUGGUCUGGCGACAUCCGAGGUAUGGAGACGGCUGAGCCUGAGGGGUGCUGUGGCCCUGCCACCAGAGAGCAUGGAUGUACCACUUCUAGUUCCCUGGGGUCCCCGGCUCAUCCCGCGGCAGCAGCUCCUCGCCUUGCUCCAUGGCCCCCUGGUUCUCUGCCCGGAGCAUCUCGGGAGCAGCCACGCUCAGGCUCCAUUCCUCACCCCCGACACGUGGCUCGGGCUCGCUGCUUCCUGGAAACAGCCCCGUUCUCCUGGGAAGGACCCUCUCCGGGGGGGCCGGAGCCCCGCUCCCUUCACCCCUGCCCCCGCCCCCACCCUCAGCAUUCAACUCCUUCCCCUGACAGCUCUGGGCUGCACCCGCCCUCCGCGUAAUCAGUGGUCCAGGCCCAACAGCUGGGUGACGAUGCAUUGCCAAGACACGGGGACUCGGCCUCGUCUGAAGCGGGCUUGGGGGGCCCGCGGCGGGCAGGGGCGACUGGGAAUCAGGGCUUUGAGACGAGCCUUGAACCGGCCUGGGAGCGAAUCCCUGAGCCCAGCUCCGCUGCCAG
Oryctolagus cuniculus (rabbit) is the source of this 1301-nucleotide non-coding RNA. The record is from RefSeq and is a predicted model, not a curated record. Lineage: Eukaryota; Metazoa; Chordata; Mammalia; Lagomorpha; Leporidae.